Molecule: long non-coding RNA, 2587 nt
Organism: Cavia porcellus (domestic guinea pig)
Lineage: Eukaryota; Metazoa; Chordata; Mammalia; Rodentia; Caviidae
Exons: 6
Source: RefSeq, a predicted model, not a curated record
GAUGUUGCCUUCUGGUGACAAGGACUGGCACCCAGGCUGCCUGUUCCCUGGUGCCCCCUGUGCUGGACUGCUGUAGAGACCUGGCUGAGGCAGCACCAUGCCCUCUGGCCUUGUUCUGCUGCUUGGACUGAGUGAGCACUGCAAGGAAGUGAGUGUCUGCCCUGGAGCAGAGGAUCUGGGCCCACAGUGGGUUACACUCCCAGCCCUCUAUCUGGGCAGUGCCAGGAGCUGUGAUGCCCAAUGGUAGUUCUGUGACCAUCUUCUGAAGGGUCCCUCCAGGGGUGACAAGGUUGUAUCUCUUUCGUGGGGAACCCAGUGACAUGUGGCAUGAUGUCAACUCUGAAGGAGCCCAAGGCAUUUACAAGGACAAACCCUCCCUGACUGCUCACCCAGGGCUCCAGGUGGUGGCAGGAGGGAACAUGAAGCUCCUGUGUGAGACACCUCACUUUUAUGAUGACUUCAUUCUCUGCAGAGACAGAGGUGCUUCCUUUCUCCAGGACUGUUCACACCAGGCCCAUGGCUCAUUCCUCAUCUCCUCGGUGAGCCUGGCUGAAGGUGGGACCUACAGGUGCUUAUGUCUCAGAGAGUAUAUGGCUCCCUCUGGUCCCUGCCCAGCGACCCUCUUGACCUUUCCUUCACAGAUAGAAUAUAAAGGGUGAAGAAAGAAGCUGCCAAGGCCCUUUUGUUUGCUUGCCAUGAACUCUUUCUCUUCUAUGAUGCCCCCCUGCAAAGCCACCCUGCUUUGGAACCAGCCAACUGUGGAUUGAAACCUCUGCAAAUGAUUACAGGGUGGAGAGUGUCAUCCAGUUAAGCCUGGUUGCCCUUGUCCUCUUAGUCCUUGUGGCUUUGUUGGUGGAUACCUGGAAGAACAGAAGAGGCCUGUAAGAUGCAGCCAGCAAGCCCAGCCUGGGAGACCUGCAACUCUUCCUAGUCCACAUCAAAGUGCUGAAACAGAAUCUUCAAGGACAAGGGAUCCAUUGAUUUUGUGUUCAAUGUUUCAGGAUGGCACAGAGCCCCGUAAUUCUUUUGAUAUUUUUAGUUUUUUUAAUUUUUAUCUUUUAUUACCCUGUGUUUGCAGUACACAAUGCUUACACUUCCUGUGAUGAGUUGGUACAUGAACACAAGACAUCUUAAUUCCUAUUUCAUCCCCUCUCCUUCCCUCUCCCAGCUCUCUAUCUCCUCCCACUUGGCAACAGCUGUAGCUCCUCUUUCCUAGUAUCUAUAUUUUAUUUUCUCUUUAUUUAUUAGCACAUUCUUUUCAGAUUUCAUAAUAGUUUGGAGGUACAGUUCUCCAUACACCACAAUGUUUAUCUUGUUUUUCGUUUAGCUUGGGUCUGAUAAUGUUCUCUGAGGCCUGUUUCUCAUUCCUGCUUCAGUCUAUGACUUUUUCUACAAAACUCUAUUCUCAUUCUUCUUUCCAAUUUUCUAUACUUCAUCCAUUCAGAUCUCUCACCCUAGUCUUCUCUUAUUGCACCUUCCCCCAGGAUGCUGGGACUCCACCCUCUUUCAGCUUCAGGUUUGCAAGAAUCCAGCUCCAGCAUUAGGCACAGAACUGACACACAGACCCUGUGUCCCUGCAUUGAUGAGGUAUGGGCCUCUCUCUCGAGGAAGAGCAGGACUCACCUAGUGUUGGUUCUGCUGCAGUGGAACCUCCUGGUGUUCAAUGGUGUUCAAUGUGUGUCAUACACACACUUGUCCUCAGUGGUUGUGAAAUUAAAGUGUGAACUUUUCCGGGUUUAUGCAAACCAUGUUAGGAAAAUUAUACAUAAUCCAUCUCUUAUACCAUAACCUUACCUGCUUUUUUAAAAGUUGUGCUUGACAUUGGUCCUUCCACAAUUCAUGACUUUUAAAUAAGAGGAAAUUUCCCUAAGCAUCUUUUUCUAUUCUUCACAUUGUAGAAUUGUAUUCUUCACAUUUCUAUUCUUCACAUUCUAUUCUUCAUCAGUAAGAAAGGGAGAGUGACAUUAAAAACAUCUGUAGUCUUGGAGGAUGGGUUCUCCACGCAGCAGAGCCUUCAUCCUCUGUCUUCUGGCUCCUCUCUGAUGUUCUUCUCGGGUAUCUGUUCUCAUUUCCACACUUGUCUGAGUGGUUUUUCUCCCUGCACAUCUGUUUUUCUCUUCCUGUUUCCCAGUCUUCUGUCCCUCAUUCUCUCACUGUGGCCUUUCUUUAAUCUACCCAAGCCCUGUGACCCCAGCACAGUGUCUUGGCCAGAGUUGCCAUGCAUCCUUUCCCACUUGUGCUCCUCCACUGCACUCCAGCUCUGAGACUACCAAUGUUCCCCUCCUGAGUGCACAGCUGGUGAGCAAGUGGACCUUGCUGUGCUUGGGACAGGAGUUUCAGAGAUUCUCUGGGAGGCUGGUGUGGGAUGCAUCUCAGCACUUCCCACUAUGACCCACUGGACUCCCUGUGUGCUCUUGUGAGAAGAUCCCUGUGUGUGCCACUGCAGUGACAAGCAGGUGGUCUCAUCACAGAUUCAGGGUGCUGUGUAAGUGACUUAUGAUGUAAGACACCAAAUGUGGGGGUUAUGGAAGGAAAUAAUCAGGUGAAUCCUAGUAGAGUCUUCUUCAAUAAAUAAUUUAAUGUUCAA